GAUGAACGCUGGCGGCGUGCCUAAUACAUGCAAGUCGGGCGAACGGACGAGAAGCUUGCUUCUCUGAUGUUAGCGGCGGACGGGUGAGUAACACGUGGAUAACCUACCUAUAAGACUGGGAUAACUUCGGGAAACCGGAGCUAAUACCGGAUAAUAUUUUGAACCGCAUGGUUCAAAAGUGAAAGACGGUCUUGCUGUCACUUAUAGAUGGAUCCGGGCUGCAUUAGCUAGUUGGUAAGGUAACGGCUUACCAAGGCAACGAUGCAUAGCCGACCUGAGAGAGUGAUCGGCCACACUAGAACUGAGACACGGUCCAGACUCCUACGGGAGGCAGCAGUAGGGUAUCUUCCGCAAUGGGCGAAAGCCUGACGGAGCAACGCCGCGUGAGUGAUGAAGGUCUUCGGAUCGUAAAACUCUGUUAUUAGGGAAGAACAUAUGUGUAAGUAACUGUGCACAUCUUGACGGUACCUAAUCAGAAAGCCACGGCUAACUACGUG
Molecule: ribosomal RNA, 497 nt
Filed under: uncultured bacterium
Lineage: Bacteria
Description: partial 16S ribosomal RNA
Rfam family: Bacterial small subunit ribosomal RNA
Source: RNAcentral